Molecule: small RNA, 1044 nt
Filed under: Pan troglodytes (chimpanzee)
Lineage: Eukaryota; Metazoa; Chordata; Mammalia; Primates; Hominidae
Description: processed transcript
Source: RNAcentral
GUGCACUCCUGGAGGAUAUAAGAUGGUGUUUUGUUCGUCUUAGCACAGGGAUUGGCACUUGGUAGACACCCACUGGAUGCUUGUUGAAUGAACAAAUGAAUGAAUGGACAAAUGAACAGGGCCUCAAGUGAACAAACAAAUGGCAGUGCUAAUGUGAGAACCUGGGACAAGACUUGGUGAUUUGUAAGCCCCCAGGCAGAGAUGGUAAAGCAUCCUUUGUUAUGUGUAUUCAAGCAUCCAUCCAGCCAAAAGUGCUGGAUUCAGGAAAGAUGGCAUCUAGCCCAGUGAGGUGAGGAAACUGAGGCCCAGAGAGGACAGGUCACUUGAGCAACGUCACACAGGUGGAAGGAGGAUUGUAGAACCUGUGCUUUUUAACAACUGCUGCUGCUGUGACUCACCAGAGUCUUGAGUAUUGAGAAGAAAGAACACACUGAAGGCAGAAGAGUCAGAAAGAGCUGAGCGAGUUUGAGACGGGCCAACUCAGUCCAGGCCUCCAGACCUGCCCCAGGCUCGGUGCAGAGCCCAGCGCCACCUCAGCCUGGGCAGCCAGGGACCCCAGGAGGAAGCAGACCGGGUCCUGGGCCAGCAGGACGCUUUCCAGAUCAGAAGCCAGAGGUGGCUCCGAGCGACCCUGGGACCACUGCCCCACCCCGAGAGGAGAGAACAGGGGGAGUCGGGGGCUACGCAGCAGUUGGAGCCAGAGAGGACCGAAUGAGCCACCCCUCCGGACCCUAUUCCCAAGCAUCUGCAGCUGCCCCCCAGCCUGCCGCAGCCCGCCAGCCACCACCCCCAGAGGAGGAGGAAGAGGAAGCCAACAGCUACGAUUCGGAUGAAGCAACCACCCUGGGUGCCCUGGAAUUCAGCCUUCUCUACGACCAGGACAACAGCUCCCUGCAGUGCACCAUCAUUAAGGCCAAGGGCCUGAAGCCCAUGGAUUCAAACGGCUUGGCUGAUCCCUACGUUAAGCUGCACCUCCUGCCGGGAGCCAGCAAGUCCAACAAGCUUCGUACAAAAACUCUGCGGAAUACCAGGAACCCCAUCUGG